RNAcentral lists this ribosomal RNA (253 nucleotides) under uncultured bacterium. RNAcentral's name for it is "partial 16S ribosomal RNA". It matches the Rfam family "Bacterial small subunit ribosomal RNA", at positions 524 to 776 of the family's 1533-position model. The record is from RNAcentral.
UACGAAGGGGGCUAGCGUUGCUCGGAAUCACUGGGCGUAAAGCGCACGUAGGCGGACUCUUAAGUCGGUGGUGAAAUCCUGGAGCUCAACUCCAGAACUGCCUUCGAUACUGGGAGUCUCGAGUCCGAGAGAGGUGAGUGGAACUGCGAGUGUAGAGGUGAAAUUCGUAGAUAUUCGGAAGAACACCAGUGGCGAAGGCGGCUCACUGGCCCGGUACUGACGCUGAGGUGCGAAAGCGUGGGGAGCAAACAGG